GUGAGUAUUAUGGUUCUCAAUUCUAGAUGCUUUUAUUAAUAGAAAGAAGUCCAUUUAAGCCAAUGUUGGUUGUCUCUCAUUCCCUCAAAAUACUUUCAAUUUCCUCGUCUUUAGCAUUAAAUGUAUGAAGCAUACGAAACUUAUGUUUUGUAUCUGACCAUUCCAAUAUAUUCAGGCUGGUUGCCAGCCUGACUCUUUUUAUCAUGUCUACAGAUUCAUUCAUGAAGAAUUAUUUGCACAUAUGUCUAUCCCCCAAAGGGUCAUUUUCAUCUGACACUGAAGAUCACUCACGACAUGGGCACUAGCAGGCUCUCGCCGCACAGGCAACGACCGCGAGAAACACACAACACCACGAGCUUGCACCUGCCUGGAAAGCCCACGCGUCUCACGCUGAGAAGCCACACAAAGGCUUUUCCCUUGCUCGAGGACAAAACGGCUUGAACUCUGCUUUGCUUUUGUUUCACACUGAGUCUGCUCCCCUCUGCCAGAUGACCACAUCAAAAGUGAUUCCCCUGGGGAAAGCACAGGCAGAACACUCUGACAGAAUUCAAAGAAGAUCUGUACAUCUGAAACUAACACAACAUUGUAAACCAACCGAAGUCCAGUAUAAAACAGAAAUUUUUUUAAAAAAAGAAAAGAUACACGCCCCUCCAUGUUCAUAGCAGCACUAUUUACAACAGCCAAGACAGGGAAGCAACCUAAAUGCCCACUGACAGGGAAAUGUAUAAAGACGUGGUCCAUAUAUACAAUGGAAUGUUAUUCAGUCAUUAAAAAGAAGGAAAUAAUGCCUUCUGCAGCAACAUGGAUGGACCUAGAGAUCAUCAUAC
Long non-coding RNA from Bos taurus (domestic cattle), 827 nucleotides. NCBI's taxonomy places the organism in Eukaryota, Metazoa, Chordata, Mammalia, Artiodactyla, Bovidae. The record is from Ensembl.